This is a non-coding RNA of Nicotiana tabacum (common tobacco), 3309 nucleotides long. NCBI's taxonomy places the organism in Eukaryota, Viridiplantae, Streptophyta, Magnoliopsida, Solanales, Solanaceae. The record is from RefSeq and is a predicted model, not a curated record.
UUAUCCCUUUUUUGGACGGCUGUCCAUAGUGUCAAUUAGGCUUUAGUUAAAAAUGACGCGGUGGAAAUUAUUAACCCAAUCAGUGACCCGUUACCUAGACCCAUUUUCUUCAUUAAUAUACAAACCCUCAACCCGGUUAUCAUAGAAAGAGGGUCAUGAUUCUCGAUUAUUCUGAGAGCUAAAUGGAUAGGCGAUUUUGGACGUGAAGUUCCACUACCGACUUGGCUGUAAACUUCUUCAAAGGUUACAGAUAUGGUUGAUGUAGACCUUUUAUUCCAUUAUGGAGGUGAUUGGAUUAGGGUGCCAGAAGUGGUAUAUUCAAGAAAAUUAGUACACAGCUGGAAACAAUAUGAUUCUGACCUUCUGUCUUUCAUAGAUAUAGUAGAUGAGUAUACUUCCAAGUUAGAUAUGUUGGUGUUCAACAACUAAUAGUAUAUUUUCUUUCUGGUAAAUAUUAUGAAGUAGAUGAGGAUGUGGGUAUUAGGACUUUACAGUCUUUUGUUUCUGAUCAAUUCAACAUCAUUAAUCUAUUUGCUGUUGAGGAUAGUGAAAUGGGAGUUAAUGUUCCUAAUAUUGUUGACCACACUGAAUCAUCCACAGUAGAUAAUCAGGGUGCUACUGAUUGUAGUUCAAAUGAAGGUGAAGAUGAUAGUUGCCAGUCAGAUUAUGAUUCUGAAGAUUUAGAGACACUUGCGCUACAAAAUAAGAGAAAGUGGUAAUAGGUUGACUGACUACAAGGAACUAUAUAAGGGAAUGUCAUUCAAGGAUAUACCCGAGGGUAGAAAAGUGAUAAAUCUUUAUUGCUUAGCCAAUUGCUAUGGUUCAACACAACUUAAAAUACUAAGAGGCUAAGGUAUAGAUGUGAGGUAGGCUUCCCCUUUGUUUGUCACAUUUCUAAGGAUAAAAAUGAUGCUGGAGUUAGUAUUAGAACUGAAGGCAAAGCAUAAGUGUAACCCUGCAUUUGAUAACCCAAGGGUUGAUUAUAAUACCAUACCACAAUUUUUGAAGACCAAAAUGCAAGACUUUCCCAAAUGAAGGUUAAGGAGAAAAAAGUAGCUCUAAAAACUACUUUCAACAUCAAUGUCAGUCAUUCAAAAUGUAAGAGAGCCAAGAGAAUGAUCCUGAAACGUCUUGAUGGUAGUUUUGUUGAUGAGUAUUAACAAAAUAGAGGCAUAUGCUAAUGAAUUGAGAAUAAGUAAUCCAGGAAGUGAUGUCAUAAUUAACACAUCCAAGGAUGCACUUGCUGAAGGUAAUAGGAGAUUUUCUUGGAUGUAUAUCUAUUUUCAUGCUCUAAAGGUGGGGUUUAAGAGUGGGCUAAGACCCUUUGUUGGCUUGGAUGGAACAUUCUUGAAAGGAAAAGUAAAAGGCCAACUCUUAGUUGUUGUUACUCUUGACUCACUGAAGUAUUUUUAUCCUAUAGCUUGGGCUAUUGUGGAAAAAAAAAGUUAUUUGGAACUGAUUACCUGGAAUUGGUUCUUGACCUUGCUGAAGCAUUCAUUAGACCUCAAGUUGGAAGAAGGAUUCACAUUUAUAUCAGACAUGCAGAAGGUACUAUAUUUUUUUUUUCCAAAAUAUUAAAUUUUUGUUGUUAAUUAUUACUUUCAGUUUUAAAUUUAUCUUAAAUGUUAUUUUUUAUCAACUAAUAUGUACGGCUUGGUUGAGGCAAUGCAAGAUGUCCUUCCUGAUGCACACCACAGAUACUGUGUGAGAUAAUGUGUGAGGCACGUAGAGGCUAAUUGGGGCAAAAGAUGGGGUGCUGGGGAGUUGAAGAAGUACCUUUGGUGGUGUUCAUAGAGCAGUUAUAAAGAAGAUUUUAAGGACCAAUUGAAGAACUUGGGGGAGUUGAAUAAAGAAGCUGUUGAAGACUUGUUGAGGUAUCCUCCCAAGUCAUGGUGUGGAGCAUACUUUGACACAGUAUACAAGAACCAACAAGUUGAUAAUAACUUAAUAGAGUCCUUUAAUUCUUGGAUAUUAGAUGCUAGGCACAAGCCUAUUAUAAAGAUGCUUGAAGACAUACGGGUUAAGGUGAUGAAUAUGUUGAGAGAACAUGAAAGUAAUGUGAUGACAUGGAAAUAGAGUUUAGUCCUCAAACUAUGAAGUUGUAUAACCAGUUCUUGAAGAUUGCACAAAAAUGUAGUGUUAACUUCAAUGGAUAAUUUAGUUAUGAGGUGGAUAAAGGACCUGAAAAGCACAGAGUGAUCCUGGAGUUGAAAAAGUUUACUUGCAGGACAUGGGACUCCACUCGAAUCCCAUGUCCUCAUGCUAUCAGGGAACUGCUAUAUAAGAAGUUAGAUCCUUUGAGUGAGAUUCAUUGGUGGUACACUAAGGAGGCUUUUCUCUUAACUUAUUCACAUAAGUUACAACCAAUGAGAGGAGAGAAGUUCUGGAAUAUAGAUCCAGCUCAUGCAAUGGAGCCACCAGUGAUGGUGAAUAUGGCUGGUAGGCGUAAGGUAAAGAGAACUAGAUAAAAGAAUGAGGCAACUAAUAGGCAAGGGGAUUGGUCUCAAUCUAGAAAAGGAAGGGUGAUGACUUGUUCUACAUGUGGACAGGCACAAUUCAAGGGUCUGUUAAAGAAAAACAGCCAAAGGGUGGUGGUAAGACAAAGAAGAGGCCAAGAUCAUUGAUUGAUGAAGACAGCGAUGGAAGCAUGACCAGAUCUACACCUUCUGCAAGGCUAACUAUUGAAGAAGAGCUGCACUUAACAACACCCCAACCCAGUCAAUUGAGUUAAGCAAGUCAAUCCAGUAGCAAUAUAGGACCCCAAUACAGGUUUAUGCCAACGCCAUCUGUGCCAAGGAAGCAAUCCAUCAACAGUGCAUCCACAUUUUCAGAUUUUGAUUAUCUAGAAUUUGACAAUCCAGACCCCCUCUAAUUCCAAGGAGUGUGUCAGAAGCAACAACUAGACUCCAAAUGAGGGAGCAAGUUUGGCACCAACUGGAAUAAGGACUAUCAACUUUGUUGGUGAUGCCAAUGGUGUGAGUGAGCCAACAUAACUUCCAUACUCACCAAAGAACCUCACAUGGAAAGAGAAAGCUUCUAUAACAGGAAACCAACUGGAGAGACAAAGAAUGACCAAGUUGAUGGCAUGAAAAAGAAAUGGCAAUUCACAAAUCUGAACAUGUGAAUGUCGUGAUAGUUUUGGUGUCUUAUGUAAUCUAAUUACUGCAUGUGACAGUAUUCUUAACUUAAUUUAGGAUCUUUAACUGUUACAGUGAAUGUCAUAUUAUUACCUAGGUGGUGACAGGUUUUGGAGUUAAAAUGUGACAUUUCUUUUGUCCAUGUAACUGCACUUUACAGUUUUUGGCAGUC